GACGAACGCUGGCGGCGUGCUUAACACGUGCAAGUCGAACGGAAAGGCCCAGCUUGCUGGGUACUCGAGUGGCGAACGGGUGAGUAACACGUGGGUGAUCUGCCCUGCACUCUGGGAUAAGCCUGGGAAACUGGGUCUAAUACCGGAUAUGACCAACUGUCGCAUGGUGGUUGGUGGAAAGCUUUUGCGGUGUGGGAUGGGCCCGCGGCCUAUCAGCUUGUUGGUGGGGUAAUGGCCUACCAAGGCGACGACGGGUAGCCGACCUGAGAGGGUGAUCGGCCACACUGGGACUGAGACACGGCCCAGACUCCUACGGGAGGCAGCAGUGGGGAAUAUUGCACAAUGGGCGCAAGCCUGAUGCAGCGACGCCGCGUGAGGGAUGACGGCCUUCGGGUUGUAAACCUCUUUCACCAGGGACGAAGCGUGAGUGACGGUACCUGGAGAAGAAGCACCGGCCAACUACGUG
RNAcentral lists this ribosomal RNA (466 nucleotides) under uncultured bacterium. Its description in RNAcentral is "partial 16S ribosomal RNA". It matches the Rfam family "Bacterial small subunit ribosomal RNA", at positions 28 to 507 of the family's 1533-position model. The record is from RNAcentral.